GCGCUUAAGAUUGCCAAUGGUUCAUAAAAAGAAUUCAAGGUCAGAAUACCAUGCCAUACAGAUCUCUACAAAUAUCCUGUACACCAAAUAAAUGUGUUCCUAUUCUUACAGUGCCUUAGAAACUGACAAAUGUAAAAGUUAUGCUUGGCCAAUUAAUUCGGAACAUAAGGUCAAAAGUAUAUGAACCCUGACCGACAGCCAGACAUAGACAUCUUACUAUCAUGCAAUAUAUCAAAUACAAUUGAAGUCAUCAU
Molecule: long non-coding RNA, 254 nt
Filed under: Mytilus galloprovincialis (Mediterranean mussel)
Lineage: Eukaryota; Metazoa; Mollusca; Bivalvia; Mytilida; Mytilidae
Source: RNAcentral